This 268-nucleotide long non-coding RNA is filed under the name Helianthus annuus (common sunflower). Its description in RNAcentral is "hypothetical non coding rna". The record is from RNAcentral. Lineage: Eukaryota; Viridiplantae; Streptophyta; Magnoliopsida; Asterales; Asteraceae.
AUGCAGAAGGAGAAGCUGCUGGGAGUUAGGAUUGUCCUUAUUCUGCUUGUUGCGGAUCCGAGAAGGGUAGAUAUCAAUCUAUGAAGAGAAGCUUUUGAGUUAUGUUUUAUGAUAGUGAAUUCCUCACCCAAAAGAAGGUUUAGGCCUAUCUUGUAAACAUUUAGAAUUUGGAAUAUGUUUACUUGUUACACAAUGGAAUAUGUUUACUUGUUACACAUUUGGAUAUGUUUCGAAUCGAAUAUAUUAUUGAAGUUAUAAUAUUAUGAUU